Transfer RNA from Camelus ferus (Wild Bactrian camel), 73 nucleotides. It matches the Rfam family "tRNA". From Rfam's summary of the family: Transfer RNA (tRNA) molecules are approximately 80 nucleotides in length. Their secondary structure includes four short double-helical elements and three loops (D, anti-codon, and T loops). NCBI's taxonomy places the organism in Eukaryota, Metazoa, Chordata, Mammalia, Artiodactyla, Camelidae. The record is from Rfam.
GGUGCUUACAGCUCAGUGGUAGAGUGUGUGCUUAGCAUACACAAGAUCCUGGGUUCAAUUCUCAGUACCUCCA